Molecule: ribosomal RNA, 405 nt
Filed under: uncultured Gammaproteobacteria bacterium
Lineage: Bacteria; Pseudomonadati; Pseudomonadota; Gammaproteobacteria
Description: bacterial SSU rRNA
Rfam family: Bacterial small subunit ribosomal RNA
Source: RNAcentral
GCAAGUCGAGCGGAAACGAUCCUAGCUUGCUAGGAGGCGUCGAGCGGCGGACGGGUGAGUAACACGUGAGAAUCUGCCCAUUAGAGGGGGAUAACCUGGGGAAACCCAGGCUAAUACCGCAUAAUCCCUACGGGGGAAAGCAGGGGAUCUUCGGACCUUGUGCUGAUGGAUGAGCUCGCGUCGGAUUAGCUUGUUGGUGAGGUAAUGGCUCACCAAGGCGACGAUCCGUAGCUGGUCUUAGAGGAUGAUCAGCCACACCGGGACUGAGACACGGCCCGGACUCCUACGGGAGGCAGCAGUGGGGAAUCUUGGACAAUGGGGGCAACCCUGAUCCAGCCAUGCCGCGUGUGUGAAGAAGGCCUUCGGGUUGUUAAGCACUUUCAGUAGGGAGGAAGGCUUAUCCUU